GACAGAGGGUGCAAACGUUGUUCGGAAUUAUUGGGCGUAAAGCGCGCGCAGGCGGUUUCUUAAGUCUGAUGUGAAAGCCCACGGCUCAACCGUGGAGGGUCAUUGGAAACUGGGGAACUUGAGUGCAGAAGAGAAAAGCGGAAUUCCACGUGUAGCGGUGAAAUGCGUAGAGAUGUGGAGGAACACCAGUGGCGAAGGCGGCUUUUUGGUCUGUAACUGACGCUGAGGCGCGAAAGCGUGGGGAGCAAACAGG
RNAcentral lists this ribosomal RNA (253 nucleotides) under uncultured bacterium. RNAcentral's name for it is "partial 16S ribosomal RNA". It matches the Rfam family "Bacterial small subunit ribosomal RNA", at positions 524 to 776 of the family's 1533-position model. The record is from RNAcentral.